This 515-nucleotide ribosomal RNA is filed under the name uncultured bacterium. RNAcentral describes it as "partial 16S ribosomal RNA". It matches the Rfam family "Bacterial small subunit ribosomal RNA", at positions 28 to 523 of the family's 1533-position model. The record is from RNAcentral.
GAUGAACGCUGGCGGCGUGCCUAAUACAUGCAAGUCGAGCGAAUGGAUUAAGAGCUUGCUCUUAUGAAGUUAGCGGCGGACGGGUGAGUAACACGUGGGUAACCUGCCCAUAAGACUGGGAUAACUCCGGGAAACCGGGGCUAAUACCGGAUAAUAUUUUGAACUGCAUGGUUCAAAAUUGAAAGGCGGCUUCGGCUGUCACUUAUGGAUGGACCCGCGUCGCAUUAGCUAGUUGGUGAGGUAACGGCUCACCAAGGCAACGAUGCGUAGCCGACCUGAGAGGGUGAUCGGCCAAACUGGGACUGGGACACGGCCCAGACUCCUACGGGAGGCAGCAGUAGGGAAUCUUCCGCAAUGGACGAAAGUCUGACGGAGCAACGCCGCGUGAGUGAUGAAGGCUUUCGGGUCGUAAAACUCUGUUGUUAGGGAAGAACAAGUGCUAGUUGAAUAAGCUGGCACCUUGACGGUACCUAACCAGAAAGCCACGGCUAACUACGUGCCAGCCGCCGCAGUAA